GGCGGGCUGGAAUCUCUCGGGGUUACAGCCUUGCUGAAUUAUUCACCCUUGUCUUUUGCGUACUUCUUGUUUCCUUGGUGGGUUCGCCCAACAAACAUAAACCUUUUGUAAUUGCAAUCAGCGUCAGUAACAAAUUAAUAAUUACAACUUUCAACAACGGAUCUCUUGGUUCUGGCAUCGAUGAAGAACGCAGCGAAAUGCGAUAAGUAGUGUGAAUUGCAGAAUUCAGUGAAUCAUCGAAUCUUUGAACGCACAUUGCGCCCUUUGGUAUUCCAAAGGGCAUGCCUGUUCGAGCGUCAUUUGUACCCUCAAGCUUUGCUUGGUGUUGGGCGUCUUGUCUCUAGCUUUGCUGGAGACUCGCCUUAAAGUAAUUGGCAGCCGGCCUACUGGUUUCGGAGCGCAGCACAAGUCGCACUCUCUAUCAGCCAAGGUCUAGCAUCCAUUAAGCCUUUUUUCAACUUUUGACCUCGGAUCAGGUAGGGAUACCCGCUGAACUU
RNAcentral lists this ribosomal RNA (497 nucleotides) under Alternaria alternata. RNAcentral's name for it is "eukaryotic LSU rRNA". The stretch from base 146 to 299 matches the Rfam family "5.8S ribosomal RNA". Lineage: Eukaryota; Fungi; Ascomycota; Dothideomycetes; Pleosporales; Pleosporaceae. The record is from RNAcentral.